UUCUUUUUUUUUUUUUUUUUCCCUUUUUUCCUUUUUUUUUUUUUUUUUUUUUUUUUUUUCUGCCGGGGAGGGGGAAGACGAGGAGUCGAGCCCCAGCCCGGGAGGAACGGGGUGUUUGGAAGAUGUUGCGAGCCAUUGACCGGAGCGUUUGAAGGGGUGAUCGGCUGCUUUGGCUUUUUUUUUCUUUUUUUUUUUUUUCUUUUUUUUCCUCCCCUCCCCCCUCCCCCACCUCUCCGGAGGGGUAGGGAUGUGUGAUCAGGGAGUGGAAACAAAUAUGUCCUUAUUUUCAAUGCCCCCUUUGAAAGAGACAAAGUAAACGCUCCUUGCAAAAUGUUCCUGACCUGCGAAGGGACCUUCGGAAUUGUUCCAGCCACCAUGGAUUACAAUGGGGAAGCCAGGCCGGGGGAUUUUCAUGCCGGCUAUCAAGAAAUCGAAGGGAUAAACUUGGGAUACUUACAGAUCAAUGGCACCCAGAUGUUUGCCUUGGCCCAGGUCCUCAGCGACCUGUUUAAGGAUAUCCCCAGGACCACCAUCAGCAAGAAGAUGGAAACCUUAAAGAUCAAGAGCCGACGCUGCGAUCUCAAGGAGCUCCGGACCCUCAAAGCCAUCCACUCGGUGCCCACCCGCGCGGUGAAAUGCUCGCUCAUAUCCAAGGCGGACCUGGAGGCUCUCUGCACCUCCUGCAAGAGCCUCAGCCCCAGGAGGAGGAAGAGGAAAAGGAAGAGCAAGCGGAGGGAGCAGCUGCUGCUGCCGGACCCCGGGGAGCUCUUCGCCUGCCCCCGGCCCCAGCUGCUGCCGCCCUGCCGAGCCGGCGCCUGCUGCGCGCCCCCGGCCCCCGGGCGCCCCAAGCUGCCCCCGGCCUUGGCCAAAGCGCGCUCGGCGCCGGCGGCGCUGCUCCCGCAGCCGUUCCACCACCGGCCCUUCCCCGGCCUCGAGAGGGCCCCCCGGGGCCGCCGGGGCUGCGGGCUCCCGGAGCGCGCCGGGCUCUUCGGCGGCGUGCUGGGCGCCUACCCCCGCGACCUGGCGCUGCUGCACCCCGCGGCCGCGCACCCCGCCGCGCACCCCGCGGCGCUCGCCGAGCCGGGCCGGCGUAAGCGGGGUCCCUGCUGCGCCAAGGGGCUCUUCCCGGCCGAGAAGGGUCCCGGGGGCGCAAGGAAAGGCCGCUCGUCCGCUUUCCCCGGCUCCAAGCGGCAGGGCACCUCCGCCGGCUACUCCAGCGACUCGGACUCCAGCCUGGACUUCGGCGGGUCCAGCCCCGCCACCUCCAGCGACUCGUCGGAGGAGGAGGAGGAGGAGGAAGAGGAGGAGGAGGAGGAAGGGGACACGUCGUGCAGCAGCGAGGAGGGCAGCUCCUCGGAGUCGGAGAGCAGCUCGCUGUGCAGCGGGGACUCGGUGCAGAGCACCCGGUACAGGCAGGCGGCUCUGCCCCGCUUCCAGCCGCAGCCCCCCCGGGAGCCCCUCGGCGACGAGCGCCCCGCGGAGCCCCCCCCGGGCUCGGGCAAGGCGCUGCGCCCCGACCCCGACCUCCUCUUCCUCUCGCAGCAGCUCUGGGCCAGGACUUUGCGAGCAUCAACUUCGGAAAGUUUGAGCCCGGCUCCAGCCCUGGGCUCGGGGGCCCAGCCGCAGCCGGAGCUGUACGCAAAGCAGGAGGCCUCCCCUUCCUCCUCCUCCUCUUCCUCCUCCUCUUCCUCCUCCUCCUCCUCUUCCUCCUCCUCCUCUCCCCCUCCCUCCCCGAGCAGCACCCCUGGGGGGGACCCGCAACAAAAGGAGGGCGGCUUUGGGGACGCAGAGCCCUGCGCCAAAGGGAAGGAUUUGCACAAAGAUGCCUCGAACAAUAGAGCCUCGUUAGGCCCCAGUGACCAAGCAGAGAGGCAGAGCGAAGCUUUAGCCGGCCGAGCGGCUUCCCAAGAGCCGGCCCCGGGCUCGGCCCCGCAGCCCCCGGCCCCGGAGCUGGCGGGGAGCCUCGGCCCGGCGCCCCCCGGGGAAGCGGGGGAGCCCCGGCGGGAGCACUUUGACAGGCUCAUCCGGCAGUCCAAGCUGUGGUGUUACGCCAAGGGGUUCAACGUGGACGGGAAAAGUUUGCGCCACGGAGGGAGGACGGAGCCCUGCAAAGCUGCAGAGCUCAAAUCCCCCGGCUCCAAAAGAGCAGAGAGCCCCAGCACCUUGUCAAACAAAGCUUUGAAAGGCAAUGGCUCGGAAAGGAAUGCCAAGCGCAGACGCCUUGCCAGAGGCGCUGAGGCAGAAAGGCAACAGAGCUCCUCUAAAGGGAGGCCACAAAAGACUCAAAGGAGGAAUGCCAAAAAGGGAAACACUCAUUGCAAACGCCUCGGCAGCGCCGGGCCAACCCCGCCUCGGAAUUCCUUCAGCCUCAUGGGCAACUUCCCCUGUAUUCCCUCCCUGGUCGUGGGGGAAGAUGGGGACCUGUGUCCUGCCUCCUCCCUGGGGGUCAAAAACUCCUGGGCCCUCUCCAAAACUCACCCGCUGUGGAGCUGGCACCUGGGGGGCAACGCCAUCCCGGUGCCCCCCAGCCUCAAAUUCCGGGGCUAUAGCUUGGAGGAUCUCUAAGGACCGCGGACGGCCCGGAGGAAAGGUUUACACGCAACAGAUGCGAGCCGCAGGGCGGGCGGGGGCCGGGGCCGGGGCCGGGCGGGGGGCGCGGGGCCGGGUGGGGGUCGCGGGGCCUCCCCGAGAUGCUGAGCCCCGGGGGCGGCCGGGCCGGGCUCUGCCGGCGAGGGGGGCCCGGGGCGGGUGCGGGGCCGUGAGCGGGUGCGGGGGCCGGGCGGGGGCUCCCCGCUCGGGCUGGGGCUGAGGUUUCGGUCCCCCCCGUGCGCCGGUUUCACGAUGCUGGAAGGAGCACUCGGACCGGGGGGCGCCGACCCCUCGCCCCCGGGCUCUCCGCUUUUGUCCCAGCGCCGAGCUUGGGGCGGGGGCGCGGCGCCAGGUGGGGGCGCGGGGGGGUCCCCCCGGGCCGAGCUCGCCCCGGCCGGCAGCGUCGCCCCUUCCCCGCCCUGGCCGCGCUCCGCUCCCCACCCCCGGAAGCCAAAAACCGCUGAAACGAGGAAAGAAUAGAGCCGAUUUCUCCCUUUGCCUCCAUAAAUGCAGUGGAUUAAAGUAAUAAUAAUCACACGCAGAGAGAAAUAAUGAUGUCAUGCAGCAUAAACACUCCUUUUCGGCCCGAGUCAAUCCCGGCGAAAUUGGGAGCAGCUAUUGCAAAUAACUAUAUUAAUAGCAAUGUAAUGUUUUCUGUCUACUUACGAGACAGGAAGAAAACACAAACUUUAAAAAGACCAGGAAAUUCUGUUUGCUAAAAGAAAACAGGAGGCUUUGAGAGGAAGUUAUCUGAAACUGCUGCAUGUAUAUUAAAAAAAAAAAAAAAAAGUGGGUUGUUUGCUGGAUAAUAACCCUAACUGCGCUAGCCUAAAGGUAGCAGGCCUGUAAAAGCUUUACGGGCACAAGAAAUAGGAUCCAGGAGCAUUAGCAAUAGAGUACAGAUGGACAAUUUGAUCUCUCCCGAGCUCCGAAGUGGAAUGUGGGGAAGAAUGUGGGGGGAAUGUCUCUCCUCUCUGCAGAGGAAAUCAUAUCCCAGUUUAACUUUUCUUGCAAACCACUGUCUUUGUAACUGGCUCUUUUGACUAUUUCUGAUGUGAUUUCCACCCCGCUUUGGCAUCAAAGCCCGCCGGGCCCUCUGAAGCCUGCUCGUUCCGGAGACGUUAGGCAAACCAAAGCUGCUGCGGCUCGGGGGAGCGGGGGUGGGUUUUCCCCCUUCUUUUCAACGGAAAAUGUUCGCAGCUCGCGGCCGGGCGGGCGCGGCCGGGAUCCCGCAGCGCGUUUCGGCCCGGCCCGGGGCCGCCGUUCCCUCCCCCGCUGCCCCCCUCCCGCUGGGAGCAAUCCCCCGGCCCUCCGCAGCGGCCUCCUCGUCCCACGGAAAGGGAAGGGAGAGGGAAGGGGAAGGGAAAUCAUCGCAGGAUUCAAAGAAAAUAUUCCCGUCUGCCACGGCUGAUUUUGAUUUUUUUGGUUUAAUUCCACCAGCGGGUAAAAAAAAUGGCAUUUUUAAGGUCAAACGUAUUUUGUAUCUAUUAAGCGAUGUUUUUCUUGGAGCUGGUGAAUUGUUGCUAAAAGCGGUGUUUGUUUGACUUGGGUUUGCAGCGGGUUUUUGGUUAACUGCGGUUUUUGUUGACUUCAGCCCGCCGCCCGGAGCAGCGGCGGGGCCGAAAUCGCCGCGGCCCGGGGCCGGGCAGGCUUCGGCCGCAGCCGCGGGGGGGUCCCCGGUGUCCCCGAGAGCUUUCGGGGAGCACCGGGCCCGAGCCGAGCCGGGCCGAGCCGAGCCGAGCCCGUCGCCUUCCAGCCCGGCCCGCGCUAGCACCGCGUGUGCCGGGAGAAACGAAAGGGACGCGGGGCCGGGGCGGCGGUGCGGGGCCGUGCGGGGCCGUGCGGGGCCGUGCCCGCGGGAGGAGCCGCACAAAGGCGGCGCGGGGCUGCGGGCUGCAAAGCCCCGGCCCCAGCUCUCCGCGCCGCCGGCGAGCGCGCAGGAAUUACCGAGCAAAAAGCGAAGAGCAAAAAAAAAAAAAAAAGCAAAAAAAAUAAAUAAAAAAAUGCAAAAAGCGAAAAGCAAAAAAUAAAAGGCAAAAAGCGAAAAGCAAAAAGCAAAAUUCGAAAACCAAAUGCAAAAAGCGAAAAGCAAAAUGCAAAAAGCGAAAAGCAAAAAGCAAAACGCAGCCGCAACCGGAAUCCGCAGCUCCGGCUGCCGCGGGCAGGGGCGCGCAAAGAACUCAGGAAUUUCUCUGCGGGAUGAAAUCACCUCAAGCCGCGCGGGGCAGCGGCAGCAGCCACCACCCCGGGCGCAGGCCCACGGACAUUUCUCUCCGUGGAUGUGUGCAUUUGUACACGGGGGUGCGUGGGAGCCCGGCUGGUAACACACGGCCUGUGCGUGCACGGUGCACGUACACAUUUCUCUGCUCGCACACGUAAGUACGAGCGUGUGUAGCUGUGUACAUCUGUAUAUAAUGCAAGGGGGUUGUAGCAGGGCUGUGAAUACAAUACAAAGAUACCUCAAAACUUUCCACACAAACACACCUUGAAUGGCUCCUCAAGCAGCAGAAACAUCCGGUUCACAGCAGAAAUUAACAAUAAUAAUUCCCCCUGUUUGUUUCUAAAUGUUUCAAAGAAAUUGAGCGAUCCAUAAAAAUAAUCUUCCCAGCAAUCCCCCAGUAAGAGGCUGGAGAGGGGAGUGGCAAUGCAUCGAAAGUAAACUGAAAAAAAAAAAAAAAAAAAAAGGAAACAAAAAAAAAAAAAGGAAAACCCAAAUUGUUACCUGAAAUAGCCUGGUUUGGACUUCAAAAAUGAGAAGCCCGAGCAGUAGUUUGUUGGAAGAAGCAAUACCUCUGUACAAAACAAUGAGCCAGGAGAAGGGGACGCUUUGAGUGUAACAAACGAGUUCUGGUUUUGAGCAAAAAUUCAACUUGCAUUGCCAGGACGGUAUAAAGGGUAUAAAGGCACCUUUAUAGUGACGUUAGUGAGAUUGCUUUAUUUCCAAACGGGUGCAAGAGAAACAAAACCUGUUUUUUUUUUUUUAUUAUUUUUUAUUUUUGUUUCAUAAAAAAUGUUUGUCUAGUUAGGAGAAAACGGAAAGUAUCUUCUUGUAAAAAAUAAAGAAAACUUUUAUAAAGGGUGCUGCUUUUAAAAAUGCAGCAAGCUUUAGACUCAGGAAAAUCUCAGCUUGGAUACGGUGUGGUGCUUUGUAAUCACGGUUUGUAAGGGUUUUUUUUUUUAGGGGCUGGGGGUUUCAGGGACCUUUGCUCUUGCUUUGCGUUGCUGGAUUAAAAACUCACAUCCCUCCGUCCCCGUCCAGUGGGUUUAAAAAUGUCAUGUCAUGGGUGCUUCUCCUCUGGGCCCCGGCUCCAGGGCUGAUUUCUUUGUGGGGUUGCUGCGAGUGGGGCGCGGAGCCGGUCCCCUUCCACGGGUCCCCGCUGGCAUCAGGCCCCAGGGGGCUGCGAGCCCCCAGCCCAGGCUGGGCACAUCCAGCUGCCGCCACCGCCUUUCCCUGCGCCCCGGCCUGGAACACGUGUCCAAAACGUCCGCCGCGGGGAGGAGAGAGCUGUCGCCUUUUCCAGCCUUGUCUUGGGUUUUCUGUUUAGAUUUCCUGUACCUUUAUUUAUUUGAAGUUGUUGUAAGUAUAUGACGAUGAAAGUGUUAAUUCCUGCGUGCAAUAUGGAAUCUAGGCUGAGAAAUAAAUACGUUUUUUACAGAACCGCCUGCCACUCGGCCCUGUUUGUGCGUGUGUGCGUGCAAGGGGGCGGGUGGGUGGCCGGCGCGUGCCCACGUGUGCGGGAGCUGGGGGUGAGAUCUCGCUCUGGGGGGGCCGUGUGCUUGCACACCCGGGGUGCACAUGUGUGUGUGUGUGUGUGUGUGUGUGUGUGUGUGCUCGUGCACGUGUGUGCACCCACGGAGGGUGGGCGCCUUGCGGAGGGCGCGCGUGCCGCUGCUCUAUUUAUAGCCGUGGCCGUGUGGCCGUGCACAUCUGGCUGCGUGUGUUUAUUUACGCGCCCUGCCGAAGCUCACGCCUCCGCACGCCCGCGUGCACGAACCGGCCCCCGGCCUCGCACCCGCGUGGGCUCAGGCACCGGCUGCACGCGGUGCCGUGCGUGUGUCCGCCCUGCGUGCCAGCACGUGGGUGGGUGGGUGGCCUGCACGCACGUGUGCUUGGCUCCGCAGCACGGGGCUCCUCCGGACAAAUUUUGCCCCCACGGAACGUUUUUCCUAAACAUUUAAUCAGAAAUCAAUAGCGACUUCCAUCUAAUUUGUAGGCCAGAGGCGAGGACGCAGGGACCGUUCCCCGUCCGUGUGUUUCUAUUUUGAGGGCCUCAGGAGCUCGUGCCCCUCUCGGAAGGAGCACUUCAGAUUUAUUUUUAAUUCUUUGGCAAAGACAAACGGCUGCGGACUGAGAGGGCUCAUCAGAGCAGGGGUGGUAGGUUUAGACCCAAACACAAGAAGCAGAACAAGGAGGAGCAGCACGAGGGACUUGUACCUGUGCAGCGGUUUGGGAAGGGCCUUGGGGACGUGACCGGGAGGGCAGAGAUGCCAGCCCAGGGAGCAGCGAUCCGGCUCUCUCCAGGGCAGAAAUCUGCCCGAUUAUCUUUCCAAACCGAGAGAAAUGGAAAGAGAAACGAAUGGCACCCCCAGUCAGGACCUCAUUAGUUCUGAUUAAUAACUGUGCAUUAUUCGAUUGCCACAAAACCGUCUCAUGCCUUCGCUUCUGCAGGAGGCCAGGUAAAAACCUUCCCUGCCCUUAAAAAUCUCAGACAUCCAGAUUACACCAGAAAAUGGUUAUGCAAAUCACACGCUCGGCAUUUGAAACCGAUUUGCAGCCUUUCUUCAGUCCCCCUUCUGGCAUGGAGGAAAGGAGGCGAAGUCAAAAUGACUCCCAUUAAAAAACGUAAAAUCCCCAAAGGCGAGGUCCGGAGCCCCCAGCCCCGACAGAACUGUGGGAGCAACGCGGGGCAGGACGCAAAGGGGAGCCUGCGGUGGCCUAAUCACAGCCAAUGACCCUGCUAUUAUUAUUAUUAUCUGUUAAAGAAGGUAAUUUAACAACAACGUUAAUUAUCUGCUGGGACCAGCACAGGCCUUGCUGGGGAGUGGGCUCUGAGGGGAGCUGAGUCCCCACUUUUGGGGCUCUUCCAUGCCCAAAAGCUGCAGGAGAAAACCCGUGGGCACGGAGCAAGGUGCUGGGGGGCACCGGGGGGGCGCGGCAUUUAUUUAGUUUAGUGUCAGGGUGUUAAUGAUGAAUUAGAUAGCAGAGGAGGGGCUCGGUAAAGCAGCAAGCUGUGAGAAAAAAAGCAGCGCCCCCCUCCCCGGGCGGGCUGGGGGCAGGGGGGAGCUGGGGGGGGUGAGGGAUUAAGUGUCACCGAAGGCCUUUCAUUUACCGUGUUUACAUGGAGUCAAUAGAAGGGAAUGGACAAGGGUUUAUUGUGAGUUAUGAGGCUCUUUCUAACUCCCGUGUUAUCAAUAUCUCCCUCUUAAAAAAAAAAAAAUGCAAAAAAUGAGUUUGCUUUUUGAAAAAACAACAAAAAAACAAAACAAACAAACAAAAAAAAAAAACAAAAAAACACCAACACAAAAUUCUCUGCAAACCUUUCUGGAAGGUGGGAGCCUCCCCACCCAGCCCACAAAGCGCUUCGCGGGAUCCUUCAGCUGUUCCAUAUAAAUCUACGGGCUCAAUAGGUGGAGUUUAUGCUUUUAGCAAUUGAAAGAAAUUGCCCUAAAUGAGGCCAUAUGGGAAACUGUGCUCAUCCUCCCCCUUCCCCAAAACCGGGGGAGGAUUCCUCCUGCCCUUUGUCAGAAAGGGAGCUUCUGGGGCUGGAUCUGGCUGCUCGGGGCUGCAGUGCGCUCCCCCAGCUGGGGGGCACAGAGCGGCCGAGGGGGGCGAGGAGCUCUGGGGCUGGGGCUGGGGUCCCUGCUCGGGGUCCUGGGGGUUUGAGCGGGCUGGGGGGGCCCCACAGGGCUGCCCCCUUUCAGGGCUGGGCAGUGUGGGCACCCUGCACCCCGACAGCCCCUCGGCGUCGUGCCCUGCUCCGGCUCCUCCACGCACGGGGCCUCGUGUGCCGGGCUGGUUCCUUCCUCCCCAGCUUUUUCCUCCCAGUUUGCAGGCUGGGAUCACGCAGCUCUCCUCAUCAGCUGGAAAUACCAGCAACCGCCCGGGCGACUGCUUGUAAUUAACCAUUCGUUACAGUGGUUAACCCCCCUCCCCAAUAACUGAAGGCGUCGUGUAGGAAACUCGGGAUCCCGCACGAGAGCGGCGUGCCAUAAAAAGGGAGCGACCCGUUGGGAUGUGCUCUGAAAUCGAUCCUCCCCGAGCAGAGUGCGGGGCCCGGGGCGGCGGGGGCCACGUUUCGCUCUGAGGCUGCAACGUGCCGAGGAGCCCCCCCUCGGCUCGUGGGGAAGCUCCGGCUGGUUCUGUGUGCUCCGAGCAUCGCGCACAUGGGCUUGGUGUUGUUUCUCCCCAUGCUGCACGAGCAGAAAACGGCGGUGAGGAGGAAGGGAGGCGAGCCCAGAGGCUGCAUUUCGGGAGCAGGAGGCUCCGAGGACGCACAUGGGAGCAGCUCGGGCCCCUGGGGAACGGAACGACGCCGGUACUGAAUCUUUGCAAAACACUUCCGUGGAGGAG
Molecule: non-coding RNA, 9160 nt
Organism: Anas platyrhynchos (mallard)
Lineage: Eukaryota; Metazoa; Chordata; Aves; Anseriformes; Anatidae
Source: RefSeq, a predicted model, not a curated record